RNAcentral lists this ribosomal RNA (253 nucleotides) under uncultured bacterium. RNAcentral's name for it is "partial 16S ribosomal RNA". It matches the Rfam family "Bacterial small subunit ribosomal RNA", at positions 524 to 776 of the family's 1533-position model. The record is from RNAcentral.
UACGUAGGGUGCAAGCGUUGUCCGGAAUUAUUGGGCGUAAAGAGCUCGUAGGCGGUUUGUCGCGUCUGCUGUGAAAACUCAGGGCUUAACCCUGAGCCUGCAGUGGGUACGGGCAGACUAGAGUGUGGUAGGGGAGAUCGGAAUUCCUGGUGUAGCGGUGAAAUGCGCAGAUACUGGGAGGAACACCAGUGGCGAAGGCGGCUACCUGGACCGGUUCUGACGCUGAGGCGCGAAAGCGUGGGUAGCAAACAGG